RNAcentral lists this non-coding RNA (23 nucleotides) under Cricetulus griseus (Chinese hamster). The record is from RNAcentral. Lineage: Eukaryota; Metazoa; Chordata; Mammalia; Rodentia; Cricetidae.
UCCCAGGGUAGAAACUGAGUGGG